Molecule: ribosomal RNA, 106 nt
Filed under: Castor canadensis (American beaver)
Lineage: Eukaryota; Metazoa; Chordata; Mammalia; Rodentia; Castoridae
Source: RNAcentral
GUCAAUGGCCAUACCACCCUGAACGCACCUGACCUCUUCUGAUUUUGGAAGCUAAGCAAAGUUGGGUCUGGUUAGUACUUGGGUGGAAGAAGUCAAGUCAUAAACC